Molecule: transfer RNA, 79 nt
Filed under: Pseudomonas sp. T
Lineage: Bacteria; Pseudomonadati; Pseudomonadota; Gammaproteobacteria; Pseudomonadales; Pseudomonadaceae
Description: tRNA-Met
Rfam family: tRNA (bases 11-68)
About the family: Transfer RNA (tRNA) molecules are approximately 80 nucleotides in length.
Source: RNAcentral
UUCGGAGUGNGGAGCAGUCUGGUAGCUCGUCGGGCUCAUAACCCGAAGGUCGUAGGUUCAAAUCCUGCUCCCGCAACCA